Molecule: ribosomal RNA, 468 nt
Filed under: uncultured bacterium
Lineage: Bacteria
Description: partial 16S ribosomal RNA
Rfam family: Bacterial small subunit ribosomal RNA
Source: RNAcentral
GACGAACGCUGGCGGCGUGCUUAACACAUGCAAGUCGAAUGGAAAGGCCCUGCUUUUGUGGGGUGCUCGAGUGGCGAACGGGUGAGUAACACGUGAGUAACCUGCCCUUGACUUUGGGAUAACUUCAGGAAACUGGGGCUAAUACCGGAUAGGAGCUCCUGCUGCAUGGUGGGGGUUGGAAAGUUUCGGCGGUUGGGGAUGGACCCGCGGCUUAUCAGCUUGUUGGUGGGGUAGUGGCUUACCAAGGCUUUGACGGGUAGCCGGCCUGAGAGGGUGACCGGCCACAUUGGGACUGAGAUACGGCCCAGACUCCUACGGGAGGCAGCAGUGGGGAAUAUUGCACAAUGGGCGGAAGCCUGAUGCAGCAACGCCGCGUGCGGGAUGACGGCCUUCGGGUUGUAAACCGCUUUCGCCUGUGACGAAGCGUGAGUGACGGUAAUGGGUAAAGAAGCACCGGCUAACUACGUG